AUUAAGGAGUGCUUAUUAUUGCAGCCUUGAAUGAACAACUGAUGAUAUUGGGUGAAAAGUCCUUAAUACAGAAAAAAAUCACAGCUAUUCUAUACUACAAACACCUCUACGCAAAUAAACUAGAAAAUCUAGAAGAAAUGGAUACAUUCCUCGACACAUACACUCUCCCAAGACUAAACCAGGAAGAAGUUGAAUCUCUGAAUAGACCAAUAACAGGUUCUGAAAUUG
Molecule: long non-coding RNA, 228 nt
Filed under: Homo sapiens (human)
Lineage: Eukaryota; Metazoa; Chordata; Mammalia; Primates; Hominidae
Description: non-protein coding lnc-C2orf40-9:1
Source: RNAcentral